UACGGGGGGGGCAAGCGUUGUUCGGAAUUACUGGGCGUAAAGGGCUCGUAGGCGGCCAACUAAGUCAGACGUGAAAUCCCCGGGCUCAACCCGGGAACUGCGUCCGAUACUGGCAGGCUUGAAUCCGGGAGAGGGAUGUGGAAUUCCAGGUGUAGCGGUGAAAUGCGUAGAUAUCUGGAGGAACACCGGUGGCGAAGGCGGCAUCCUGGACCGGUAUUGACGCUGAGGCGCGAAAGCCAGGGGAGCAAACGGG
Molecule: ribosomal RNA, 253 nt
Filed under: uncultured bacterium
Lineage: Bacteria
Description: partial 16S ribosomal RNA
Rfam family: Bacterial small subunit ribosomal RNA
Source: RNAcentral